CCUACGGGAGGCAGCAGUGAGGAAUAUUGGUCAAUGGACGAGAGUCUGAACCAGUCAAGUAGCGUGAAGGAUGACUGCCCUAUGGGUUGUAAACUUCUUUUAUAUGGGAAUAAAAUGUUCCACGUGUGGGAUUUUGUAUGUACCAUAUGAAUAAGGAUCGGCUAACUCCGUGCCAGCAGCCGCGGUAAUACGGAGGAUCCGAGCGUUAUCCGGAUUUAUUGGGUUUAAAGGGAAAGUAGGUGGAUUGUUAAGUCAGUUGUGAAAGUUUGCGGCUCAACCGUAAAAUUGCAGUUGAAACUGGCAGUCUUGAGUACAGUAGAGGUGGGCGGAAUUCGUGGUGUAGCGGUGAAAUGCUUAGAUAUCACGAAGAACUCCGAUUGCGAAGGCAGUUCACUGGACUGCAACUGACACUGAGGCUCGAAAGUGUGGGUAUCAAACAGGAUUAGAUACCCCUGUAGUC
RNAcentral lists this ribosomal RNA (460 nucleotides) under uncultured bacterium. Its description in RNAcentral is "partial 16S ribosomal RNA". It matches the Rfam family "Bacterial small subunit ribosomal RNA", at positions 338 to 795 of the family's 1533-position model. The record is from RNAcentral.